GAAUAUGGGGGGACCAUCCUCCAAGGCUAAAUACUCCUGACUGACCGAUAGUGAACCAGUACCGUGAGGGAAAGGCGAAAAGAACCCCGGCGAGGGGAGUGAAAAAGAACCUGAAACCGUGUACGUACAAGCAGUGGGAGCACGCUUAGGCGUGUGACUGCGUACCUUUUGUAUAAUGGGUCAGCGACUUAUAUUCUGUAGCAAGGUUAACCGAAUAGGGGAGCCGAAGGGAAACCGAGUCUUAACUGGGCGUUAAGUUGCAGGGUAUAGACCCGAAACCCGGUGAUCUAGCCAUGGGCAGGUUGAAGGUUGGGUAACACUAACUGGAGGACCGAACCGACUAAUGUUGAAAAAUUAGCGGAUGACUUGUGGCUGGGGGUGAAAGGCCAAUCAAACCGGGAGAUAGCUGGUUCUCCCCGAAAGCUAUUUAGGUAGCGCCUCGUGAAUUCAUCUCCGGGGGUAGAGCACUGUUUCGGCAAGGGGGUCAUCCCGACUUACCAACCCGAUGCAAACUGCGAAUACCGGAGAAUGUUAUCACGGGAGACACACGGCGGGUGCUAACGUCCGUCGUGAAGAGGGAAACAACCCAGACCGCCAGCUAAGGUCCCAAAGUCAUGGUUAAGUGGGAAACGAUGUGGGAAGGCCCAGACAGCCAGGAUGUUGGCUUAGAAGCAGCCAUCAUUUAAAGAAAGCGUAAUAGCUCACUGGUCGAGUCGGCCUGCGCGGAAGAUGUAACGGGGCUAAACCAUG
Molecule: ribosomal RNA, 750 nt
Filed under: Escherichia coli
Lineage: Bacteria; Pseudomonadati; Pseudomonadota; Gammaproteobacteria; Enterobacterales; Enterobacteriaceae
Description: partial 23S ribosomal RNA
Rfam family: Bacterial large subunit ribosomal RNA
Source: RNAcentral